Molecule: ribosomal RNA, 497 nt
Filed under: uncultured bacterium
Lineage: Bacteria
Description: partial 16S ribosomal RNA
Rfam family: Bacterial small subunit ribosomal RNA
Source: RNAcentral
GAUGAACGCUGGCGGCGUGCCUAAUACAUGCAAGUCGAGCGAACAGACGAGGAGCUUGCUCCUCUGACGUUAGCGGCGGACGGGAGAGUAACACGUGGAUAACCUACCUAUAAGACUGGGAUCACUUCGGGACACCGGAGAUAAUACCGGAUAAUCUCUUGAACCGCAUGGUUCAAUAGUGAAAGACGGUUUUGCUGUCACUUAUCGAUGGAUCCGCGCCGCAUUAGCUAGUUGGUAAGGUAAAGGCUUACCAAGGCUACGAUGCGUAGCCGACCUGAGAGGGUGAUCGGCCACACUGGAACUGAGACACGGUCCAGACGCCUACGGGAGGCAGCAGUAGGGAAUCUUCCGCAAUGGUCGAAAGCCUGACGGAGCAACGCCGCGUGAGUGAUGAAGGUCUUCGGAUCGUAAAACUCUGUUAUUAGGGAAGAACAAAUGUGUAAGUAGCUAUGCACGGCUUGACGGUACCUAAUCAGAAAGCCACGGCUAACUACGUG